GCCCCUUUAAGGCAGCGCAGCCCCGCGCGCAUUCCAGCGGCCGCGUCACCGUUCCGGGAAGCAGGUGGCGUCAUCCCGCCGCCCCGUCAUCCCGCGGCGAAAGGGGCGGGCGCUCGGAGACAAAGAAAGAAUUAAAAAUAGAAGCACACAGCUUUCCAUGAUGUGAAAUACAGGGGAAAACAGAGUAAUGCCCCCAGCAGUGAUUUCAGAAGGACCUGUGAAGGUUCUUGGGAGUCUUGCAAGAGAAAACUGCAGCAAUUUAAUGCCUUUCCAAAUUAUCAUUUGUUGAGUAUAUUGCCUGAUGGUAGUUUUGGAACAAAAGUAAAAGGAGGUGAUUUACAAACUGUG
Long non-coding RNA from Chiroxiphia lanceolata (lance-tailed manakin), 348 nucleotides. RefSeq lists it as uncharacterized. The record is from RefSeq and is a predicted model, not a curated record. Lineage: Eukaryota; Metazoa; Chordata; Aves; Passeriformes; Pipridae. The transcript is spliced from 3 exons.